GAUGAACGCUGACAGAAUGCUUAACACAUGCAAGUCGAUGGGGAAGUGGUGCUUGCACCAUGGCCACCAUGGCGGACGGGUGAGUAACGCGUAAGGGACUUACCUGCAGGACUGGGAUAACAGGGGGAAACUCCUGACAAGACCGGAUAAUGUCAUGGAGCUGCAUGGCUUUAUGAUGAAAGGAGACGCCUGCGGAGAGCCUUGCGUCCUAUUAGCUAGUUGGUGAGGUAAUGGCUCACCAAGGCGAAGAUAGGUAGCCGGCCUGAGAGGGUGGACGGCCACAAGGGGACUGAGAUACGGCCCUUACGCCUACGGGAGGCAGCAGUGGGGAAUAUUGGACAAUGGGGGCAACCCUGAUCCAGCAAUUCUGUGUGCACGAAGAAGGUUUUCGGAUUGUAAAGUGCUUUCAGCAGGGAAGAAGUAAGUGACGGUACCUGCAGAAGAAGCGACGGCUAAAUACGUG
RNAcentral lists this ribosomal RNA (463 nucleotides) under uncultured bacterium. RNAcentral's name for it is "partial 16S ribosomal RNA". It matches the Rfam family "Bacterial small subunit ribosomal RNA", at positions 28 to 507 of the family's 1533-position model. The record is from RNAcentral.